GAGAAAUCUCAAGUUCAAGGAGUUCAGAGAUCAGCUCAAGUCUUCUAGCAGAUUUUUUCUGGGAUCGAACAAAGUCAUGCAGGUAGCACUAGGUCGUUCAGACUCUGAUGAGAUUCGUCCUGGCCUCCAUAAGAUUUCUAAGCUUGUUCGCGGCGAUUCGGGUCUUUGCUUUACUAACUUAUCAAAGGAGGAGGUCCAAAGGUUGUUUAAUGAAUAUGAAGAACAUGACUUCGCGAGGACUGGCACUACAGCAACUGAAAAGGUGGAGCUACAAGAAGGUCCUCUUGAUCAGUUCACACAUGAGAUGGAGCCAUUCCUGCGGAAACAAGGGAUGCCAGUGCGGUUGAACAGAGGUGUUGUGGAGCUCGUGUCUGACUUUGUUGUAUGUGAAGAAGGGAGGCCAUUGUCACCAGAGGCAGCUCGGAUACUGCGUCUGCUUGGGAAGAAGAUGGCUACUUUCCGACUCAACUUAAUAUGCAGGUGGUCUCCUGAUGAAUUUGAAAUCUACAGAGAAGGAUUGGAAGAAUCAGAUAUUGAAUCCUCAUAGACUGCUCUCAAGCCUCACGUGUUUUACGAUGUUAAAGUUUUGGCAUCCGGAGGAACUCCUAUAACCUCUUGCUAGCUGAAGUUAUAAAUGGAGUGCUUCUUUACUUGGUUCUCAGAAAUAUUACGUUGACCGAUCACAGUUUUACAAUGUUAAAUUUGGCAUUCAGACCUCAACUCAGUAUGUGUAAUGUGUUUGAAUUAUUUGACUGUUCGAUGCAACAUAGUUUUAUGUAAAAUCUUUUACUGGUAGUAUAUCGUGGCAACUUCAUAU
This 817-nucleotide unclassified non-coding RNA is filed under the name Hevea brasiliensis (rubber tree). Lineage: Eukaryota; Viridiplantae; Streptophyta; Magnoliopsida; Malpighiales; Euphorbiaceae. The record is from RNAcentral.